This 1344-nucleotide long non-coding RNA is filed under the name Vulpes vulpes (red fox). RNAcentral's name for it is "lncRNA (ENSVVUG00000014488.1)". Lineage: Eukaryota; Metazoa; Chordata; Mammalia; Carnivora; Canidae. The record is from RNAcentral.
AUGGGACGAGGUUUCGUGAGUGGAUGGGAACCAGAAAGAAAUGGGACUUUAACUUCCUGGCCACAAGAGAGACUGCUAUGGUGUGGGGGCAGGCAGUGGGGAAGCGCUAGGAAGGAAGAAUUACUUUCAGGGACACGGAAGAAUUUUCGGGAAGAAGACAUUUGUUGGCGGGCGUUCUGGAAGACUACCUGGCCCCCGGAACCUCGCGUCUUCCGUACCUGGUCCUCCCCGGCGGGGGCACGCUCCCCACCGCACCCCCCCUUGCGCCUGCGCGCGCCCGUGCCCUUGCUCUUAAUCCCGCCUCUUCCGGCCAUCUCUACGGGUGGGGUGCUGGGGGUGUGGUGGCCCUGGCAAGAUGGCGGCUCCCGAGAAGAUGAUGUUUCCGGAGAAACCAAGCCACAAAAAGUACAGGGCUGCCCUGAAAAAGGCGAAACGAAAGAAACGACGACAGGAACUGGCUCGAUUGAGAGACUCAGGACUCUUACAGAAGGAGGAAGAGGAUGCUCUUAUUGAAGAACAACGUCUAGAAGAAGAGAAGCUGUUGGAGAUAGAGAGGCAAAAAUUACAUGAGGCGUGGUUGCUUCGGGAGCAGAAGGCACAAGAAGAAUUCAGAAGAAGGAAGGAAAAGGAAGAGGCGGCUAGAAAACGGCAGGAAGAACAAGAGGUAGGAGGUUAAUCAGAUGGCCAACUAACUAGUUAACUAAAAUAGCUCUUAGGAGGAGUUAUAGAUAUUGAACUUAACAAAAAUGGUUAUUAGCCAUUUCACCAGUGUUAAAGUUUUUCAUUUAUCUGCCCUGUAUGUUAAGUGUUUUUGGAAAGUGAUUGACAAGAAUUACCUUUCCUUUUCUUUUUUCCGGUAAAGAGAAAGUUAAAGGAAGAGUGGGAAGAGCAGCAGAGAAGAGAGAGAGAAGAGGAGGAGCAGAAGCUGCAGGAGAAGAGAGAAAGAGAGGUGAUUCCUGUCACAGGAGGAUAAACGCACUGCGUAUCCUCUCGGUGCACAGAUAUGCUGUUGGGUGGGCUGCAGAGUAAGCUGCAGGCAUCACAGGGUUGGGGCUUCAUUUCCCUGUUUAGGCAGAGUCCUGCGUUAACACAGAUACACACUAGAGUUUCCUUAUCUCCUCUUUGGGUCUGUGCAGUGGCAGAUACCUUAAAUUAAGGUUUUCCUUCAGCUUCUUCCACUCCCCCUUUAUACCAGGGAUUGGCAGACUUUCUCUGUAAAGGCAGAGAGUCAAUAUUUUAGGCCUUACGGUGAAUAUGGUGUCCGUUGCAAAUAUCCAGCUCUGUUGGUGGGUUAUGAAAACAGCCAUAGAUAAUAUGUAAAUAAAUGGUUGUGGCUGUGUUCCA